This 208-nucleotide non-coding RNA is filed under the name Vibrio nigripulchritudo. RNAcentral also lists the same sequence under 5 other names. The record is from RNAcentral. Lineage: Bacteria; Pseudomonadati; Pseudomonadota; Gammaproteobacteria; Vibrionales; Vibrionaceae.
AGUAUCCUCGACCAUGCUGGUGGUUGAUAUUUCAACUGAAAAGGGAAUCUGGUGAAAAUCCAGAACUGACGCGCAGCGGUAACAGAGAACGAACGCCCCGGAGAAAUCCAAACACUGUUUUUCACAUAAAAACGGGAAGUGGGGCGCUAGGUACCCAAUUGAGGUGUGCUCUUGAGUCCGAAUACCUGCCAGCAGUAAGAACCAAGUG